Molecule: long non-coding RNA, 371 nt
Organism: Stylophora pistillata
Lineage: Eukaryota; Metazoa; Cnidaria; Anthozoa; Scleractinia; Pocilloporidae
Source: RefSeq, a predicted model, not a curated record
UUUUGUAAGCUUCGUGUGAAGUAAUAAAAUCCUAGUGUUCAAGACGUUCGGAUUAAGUAAUGAAGUGUAGCACAGCACUGGCUCUAAAGAAAAUUUCAAUUUUGCUGGAGUAAUAGUGAUUUGAAAAGAUUCUGGCCAGGGCAAGCGAGGUUGCACGAGAUGUCUGUUCUUGGUCUACGAAGCAGAAAGGCCUUCUUUCUUCUUGUUGCUGCUGUGGCCUUAGGACUUUAUUUUUGGACCACAAGAACACAAAUGAGGCACUUUGCUUUAUUUGCAUCAGACAUCGAGCGUACCAUUAUGAAAGAAGGUACAGCUGCUGAUGACAACAAAUUUACCUCUAAAUUACUUCAACCAGGGACUGUUCCCAAGCU